AAAAACGGGAUUCCCUAGUACGGCGAGUGAAGAGGGAAGAGCCCAAGAUUGAAAGCUGGCGUCUUCGGCGUCCGCAUUGUAAUCUCAAGAAGUGUUUUCCGCUUCGGACCAUGCCUAAGUCCCUUGGAAAAGGGCAUCAUAGAGGGUGAUAAUCCCGUACAUGGCAUGGAGCGCCCGAAGCUUUGUGAUACGCUUUCUAAGAGUCGAGUUGUUUGGGAAUGCAGCUCAAAAUGGGUGGUAAAUGCCAUCUAAGGCUAAAUAUUGGGGAGAGACCGAUAGCGAACAAGUACAGUGAUGGAAAGAUGAAAAGAACUUUGAAAAGAGAGUUAAACAGUACGUGAAAUUGCCAAAAGGGAAGGGUAGGAGGUCAGAGAUGCGGCCUGGGAUUCAGCCUUGCUUUUGCUUGGUGUUUUUCCCAGUUUGCAGGCCAACGUCGGUUUUGGGCACUGGAGAAUGGUGGGAGGAACGUGGCACUCUUCGGGGUGUGUUAUAGCCUCCUACUGGAUACAGCGACCGGGACCGAGGACAGCAGCGUACUCGCAAGAGCGGGCCUUCGGGCACCUUUACGCUUAGGGCGUUGGCAUAAUGGCCCUCUACCACCCGUCUUAAAACCGGAGACC
Molecule: ribosomal RNA, 620 nt
Filed under: Ustilago esculenta
Lineage: Eukaryota; Fungi; Basidiomycota; Ustilaginomycetes; Ustilaginales; Ustilaginaceae
Description: LSU rRNA
Rfam family: Eukaryotic large subunit ribosomal RNA
Source: RNAcentral